This 392-nucleotide ribosomal RNA is filed under the name uncultured bacterium. RNAcentral describes it as "bacterial SSU rRNA". It matches the Rfam family "Bacterial small subunit ribosomal RNA", at positions 313 to 722 of the family's 1533-position model. The record is from RNAcentral.
CUGGGAGUGAGACACGGCCCAGACUCCUACGGGAGGCAGCAGUGGGGAAUCUUGGACAAUGGGCGCAACCCUGAUCCAGCCAUGCCGCGUGAGUGAUGAAGGCCUUAGGGUUGUAAAGCUCUUUCAUCGGGGAAGAUAAUGACGGUACCCGGAGAAGAAGCCCCGGCUAACUUCGUGCCAGCAGCCGCGGUAAUACGAAGGGGGCUAGCGUUGUUCGGAAUUACUGGGCGUAAAGCGCACGUAGGCGGAUUGGUAAGUCAGGGGUGAAAUCCCGGGGCUCAACCUCGGAACUGCCUUUGAUACUGCCAGUCUUGAGUCCGGGAGAGGUGAGUGGAAUUCCGAGUGUAGAGGUGAAAUUCGUAGAUAUUCGGAAGAACACCAGUGGCGAAGGC